ACGAACGCUGGCGGCGUGCUUAAGACAUGCAAGUCGAGCGGGGGGACCCAGAGCAGCUUGCUGUGAGGGUUCCCUAGCGGCGGACGGGUGAGUAACGCGUGGGCAACCUACCCGCGAAUCGGGGACAACAGUGGGAAACCGCUGCUAAUACCGGAUGAGCUUUUCUGACCGCAUGGUCGGGGAAGGAAAAGACAGCCUCUGCAUAGCAAGCUGUUGUUCGCGGAUGGGCCCGCGUCCCAUUAGCUAGUUGGUGGAGGUAACGGCCCACCAAGGCGACGAUGGGUAGCCG
Molecule: ribosomal RNA, 289 nt
Filed under: uncultured bacterium
Lineage: Bacteria
Description: partial 16S ribosomal RNA
Rfam family: Bacterial small subunit ribosomal RNA
Source: RNAcentral